AUCCUUUUGUAGUUCAUAAGCGUGAUGAUUGGGUUUUCACGCGCAUGCGUGAGAUGUGCCUCCCUCAGACCUUGUUACGACAUCGGCGCAUUACCCGUCUGACG
This 104-nucleotide small nucleolar RNA is filed under the name Microcebus murinus (gray mouse lemur). RNAcentral's name for it is "Small nucleolar RNA U13 (ENSMICG00000043504.1)". It matches the Rfam family "Small nucleolar RNA U13". Lineage: Eukaryota; Metazoa; Chordata; Mammalia; Primates; Cheirogaleidae. The record is from Rfam by way of RNAcentral.